RNAcentral lists this ribosomal RNA (305 nucleotides) under uncultured bacterium. RNAcentral describes it as "bacterial SSU rRNA". It matches the Rfam family "Bacterial small subunit ribosomal RNA", at positions 334 to 656 of the family's 1533-position model. The record is from RNAcentral.
CAUACCUACGGGGGGCAGCAGUGAGGGAUAUUGGUCAAUGGGGGAAACCCUGAACCAGCAACGCCGCGUGAGGGAAGACGGUUUUCGGAUUGUAAACCUCUGUCCUCUGUGAAGAUGAUGACGGUAGCAGAGGAGGAAGCUCCGGCUAACUACGUGCCAGCAGCCGCGGUAAUACGUAGGGAGCAAGCGUUAUCCGGAUUUAUUGGGUGUAAAGGGUGCGUAGACGGGAAAUUAAGUUAGUUGUGAAAUCCCUCGGCUUAACUGAGAAACUGCAACUAAAACUGAUUUUCUUGAGUGUUGGAGAG